UCAUUCUACUUAGUAACAUUGCCGCAGCCU
Molecule: non-coding RNA, 30 nt
Filed under: Homo sapiens (human)
Lineage: Eukaryota; Metazoa; Chordata; Mammalia; Primates; Hominidae
Source: RNAcentral